GUUAGCUAGAUAUGCUCUGGUCCAUUUAAGCCUGCCUAGCUUUGUCAUCCCAUAUGCCUUUGAGGUAUUGAUGACUGUUAUGAUUGUUAUUCAUGGCUGCCAAGCUACAUUUGAGUAAGAUAAAAGUGUUUCUCGUGAUUAAAUUACCAAAAUUGAAAAACAAACUAUAUCAGGUUUAGCAAAUUGUUAGACCAUAUCAUGUAACCAUAAACUGCACUCCUCAGCUGCCAAAUCUUACCAUUUGUAUGCAUCUAAGGUUUAUUUGCAGUGCUUCUGGUUCUCCUAAACACAGAUAGUGAAGUGAAGAAUCUGAGGCCCUUUUUGACAGUGAUGGAAAAUGAUCCUGAUGUUCCAUGGCAUCUUCUCAAACUAGAAAUUCUUAUUGAAGAUAAGGAAGCAGAAGAUGAUUGAGCUUUGAUUCACGGGAUGUAAAUCCACUUUAUUGGUCACCUGUUCAAUCCAUGCUCCUUGCUGAUGAUAAACCACUUCAGGACAUGUAUAACUGCAAUCCAUUGAAUUCUUUCUGCUUAGCACUUCAGUUAGAAGUGCCACAUUCCCAAACUUUAAUGUUAGUUUAGGAGAGUUGGGAGAGCUUAUGCAAAUAGAGUGGUAUCAUGUUGAAAAAUGUCUUUUCCUUUCAGUUUGAAA
Molecule: long non-coding RNA, 648 nt
Filed under: Homo sapiens (human)
Lineage: Eukaryota; Metazoa; Chordata; Mammalia; Primates; Hominidae
Description: non-protein coding lnc-UTY-7:1
Source: RNAcentral